Molecule: RNase P RNA, 355 nt
Filed under: Nasibacterium caprae
Lineage: Bacteria; Pseudomonadati; Pseudomonadota; Gammaproteobacteria; Moraxellales; Moraxellaceae
Also listed under: 1 other name
Description: Moraxella sp. ZY210820 RNase P RNA component class A
Rfam family: Bacterial RNase P class A
About the family: Ribonuclease P (RNase P) is a ubiquitous endoribonuclease, found in archaea, bacteria and eukarya as well as chloroplasts and mitochondria.
Source: RNAcentral
GAAGUGAACUAGACGAUCGCUGUUGUGGAGAUCUCCGUGAUUGAAACAAGAGAGGAAAGUCCGGGCUUUAUAGGGCAAAAGUGCUAGGUAACGCCUAGGCAGUGUGAACUGACGGAAAGUGCAACAGAAAGUAAACCGCCGUGUAAACGGUAAGGGUGAAACGGCGAGGUAAGAGCUCACCGCAUGACUGGCAACAGGACAUGGCAUGGUAAACCCCACUUAAAGCAAGACCAAAUAGAAAUCCAAUGGUGCGGCCCGUACUGGAUUUGGGUAGGUUGCUGGAGCGUAUGAGUGAUUGUACGCCUAGAUGAAUGAUCGUCCUUGACAGAACCCGGCUUAUCGGUUCACUUUUAUU